Long non-coding RNA from Daphnia carinata, 1407 nucleotides. RefSeq lists it as uncharacterized. The transcript is spliced from 5 exons. The record is from RefSeq and is a predicted model, not a curated record. NCBI's taxonomy places the organism in Eukaryota, Metazoa, Arthropoda, Branchiopoda, Diplostraca, Daphniidae.
UAUUCGCUUUUACAUUCACAUACUGUCAAAAUCUGUGUGAUGAAAGAAUCGACGAUAGGUGGCUCUGAGAUCGGCUGCUCGGUUAUAGAACCAUUCAGUUAUAGAACCGCGCACAGGCCGGUUCUAUAACUGGACCGGCACUGUAGUCUUUAAGUUUUUCGAAGGUCGAAUGUCGUUCGUGACUCAGUAUUUGUACCUUAGCAAUUGUUCGAUGUGUUCAACAUUUUGGAACUACAAGCGUGUGCGUUUUUUUAUUUGCAUGGUUGUUGAUUGUGGUAUCGAUUGUGGGUUCUUUUCGUUCCGUGAUUAUUUAAUGUGAUUUACCAUUUAGUGACCAACAACCUACUGGUUUUUUGGGGUGAUCGUGCAAGUUCACGUUUUUUUGUGAGGGAAACGGAUUUUUUCUCACAAUUCAAAGGUGCGUUUUCUUCUUCUUUUCUGCAUGGCGUCUAAUUAUGGGACUUGUGCUCCGUGCCCCAUUGAUGUUUCGGUGCUUAAUGCAAUUGAUUUAGAAUCAUGUUUGCUAACCAUCAAUUCGAUUCAAGUAUUGCUGCAAAUGACACCGUAAACGAACUUCAAGGAAUUGACGACGUAACUCACGUAAAUGAAAGCAUUGUCACCAAGUCUGAUGAUACAUUUCCAGUUAUUUCAAUUUUGAAGGAGUCGUCAGAAGGUAAAAAAACUGUUAAAUCAUUUAUGGAUCGCGACGAAGCGUAUUUAGAAGUAGAUGAACGAAAAACGUUGGUACGAAUACUGGUGAGCCAUAUGUGCAUGCUUUCUGGGAAAAAAGAUUUAUAUCCACCGAGUAGCCUCAAAGAAGAACUUGCAAAGGCAAUUGUUAAAGCUUUUCCAUGUUUGGCUGUUCCUUGUUCUGACGGCUCUAGCCUGACUAACUAUACUCACUAAUUUUAAUCUUCACUCUCUUUCUUUUAAUCCAAAAUUAACUAACGGUUUCAUCGACAUUCGUCUGAAAACUAUGCGGUCAAAGUCCGACGUGGCAAGGGAAAAAACAUUAAGGAAAACCAAGACUGCUGCUUCCCGGCUAAAAAGACCAAUCGCAGGCCUGUCAAUGAGUUUAAUGGUGACAGAGACCCCGCUUUCGAUGAACAUAAAUUCAAGAUUGCAUGGAUGUAGAUACAUUUGCCCGAACAGAGUUCUAAUGAAACCACAGUUCAAGAGCAUUUGGCAUCUACAUAUAACUACAGACAGCAUCAAAUUUCAGUAGGACAAUGGACCACUACUACAGAUACCUGAGUUUGCAAAAAUUUGCAUCUUAGAUUUUCCGUGAUUAACCACUGGCAUUCCCGAAAGCAGGGCGCUUUCAAGAGACGAUUAUUUUGAAGUAUGGACCGAAAUUCGGAAUCAUAUUUUCUCAAUAUUGUCAAUAUCAAUAAAUGCAUACCUUUC